UCCAAAACGACGUCCAAGAUAUGUAAGAAUAAGUCCUAGCCAAGAUUUAGCAACAGUGUAUACCUCCGGGAACCUUGCUAUGGCCUUGCCACUUU
Ipomoea nil (Japanese morning glory) is the source of this 95-nucleotide long non-coding RNA. RefSeq lists it as uncharacterized. The record is from RefSeq and is a predicted model, not a curated record. Lineage: Eukaryota; Viridiplantae; Streptophyta; Magnoliopsida; Solanales; Convolvulaceae. The transcript is spliced from 3 exons.